CGGACGGGUGAGUAACACGUGGGUAACCUGCCCUUAAGUGGGGGAUAACAUUUGGAAACAGAUGCUAAUACCGCAUAAAUCCAAGAACCGCAUGGUUCUUGGCUGAAAGAUGGCGUAAGCUAUCGCUUUUGGAUGGACCCGCGGCGUAUUAGCUAGUUGGUGAGGUAACGGCUCACCAAGGCAAUGAUACGUAGCCGAACUGAGAGGUUGAUCGGCCACAUUGGGACUGAGACACGGCCCAAACUCCUACGGGAGGCAGCAUG
This 263-nucleotide ribosomal RNA is filed under the name uncultured bacterium. RNAcentral's name for it is "partial 16S ribosomal RNA". It matches the Rfam family "Bacterial small subunit ribosomal RNA", at positions 99 to 353 of the family's 1533-position model. The record is from RNAcentral.